CUUUAUUAUUUUUUUACAUUUUAUGUAUAUUUAUCUAUACAUGAAUGCAUUUGAAUAUAUAUUAAAUAGUUUAAAUCAUAAUACUAAUCUACAUUUCAAACAGUGUGCCCAUCUGAUACAUAUUUUCUGCAUAGCUAUACUUACAGGAAUAUGGAUUUAAUAUGGCUGCAUAAGUUUGCAUGUUAUAUACAAUGCUUAUGAUAAUGCUUCUCAAACUCCUCCCAUGUUGGUGACCUGAGUGGUGUAGACUACAGGACUCAUUUCCCAUAGCCUGCAUAGAGGACCGACACGUUUGAAUUAUGGUCAGACACAAGGAUCAAACCCACAGCCCCUCCCCCAUCUCCCCCCACUCGCUCAGGACCGUAGAAAUGGAAGAAAUGAAUUCACCUGUCUCAGCCACAGCAAUCUCCAGGAAAAACAGAAAUAUAAAAGUGUCAACUUAGACCAUCCUAUAUUUUUUGGUUAUAGUCAUUAGUACAACACAGAAUACAUCCAUAAACAUCACUUAGCGGUAUUCAUAAAAUAUCCCACAAUAUCCAAGUUAUAGGGAAUCCAUCUUUCUACCAGCAUCUUCAUUGAGUAAAAGGGUCUUCCUUCGUUGUUCACUAGAUAAAAUCCAUUAAAUAAGUCAGGAAAGUUCCAGGAAUAUUCUUUUAAGGUAUACAAGAUCUCCAGAUGUGCCUAGAAUUGUCUGCCUGUAAGAUGAACACCAGGCAUGAAUGGGCCAAUGGACCUUCCGAUAAAAGAUUGUUCCAUAUAUACAUAUAGGUGAUCAGGAUAGGGCAGGAAAUCUGGCCCUGCAGGCAGAUGGUUAUGCUUCCCCUAAGCUUGCAUCUCUUCUCUGACAGCCUUCGGCGAAGCCCGAAAACCCUUUAUAAUAACCAGCUCUGUCCCCCUUUCAUAUCACAUGAUUUCGGUUCACCUGGAACGAACAAAGAGCGUACACACAAAGACAAGCCGAAAAUCAAGAAAAAAAAGAUCCAUG
Pelobates cultripes (western spadefoot toad) is the source of this 985-nucleotide non-coding RNA. The record is from the annotation of a GenBank genome assembly. Lineage: Eukaryota; Metazoa; Chordata; Amphibia; Anura; Pelobatidae.